This 253-nucleotide ribosomal RNA is filed under the name uncultured bacterium. RNAcentral describes it as "partial 16S ribosomal RNA". It matches the Rfam family "Bacterial small subunit ribosomal RNA", at positions 524 to 776 of the family's 1533-position model. The record is from RNAcentral.
UACAGAGGGGGCAAGCGUUGUUCGGAAUUACUGGGCGUAAAGGGCGCGUAGGCGGCCUGUUAAGUCGAACGUGAAAUCCCCGGGCUCAACCCGGGAACUGCGUCCGAUACUGGCAGGCUUGAAUCCGGGAGAGGGAUGCAGAAUUCCAGGUGUAGCGGUGAAAUGCGUAGAUAUCUGGAGGAAUACCGGUGGCGAAGGCGGCAUCCUGGACCGGCAUUGACGCUGAGGAGCGAAAGCCAGGGGAGCAAACGGG